GUAAACAAGCUGAUUGAGCCGGCGGCCGUGUUUUUCUCGCGAAUUGCGCACAUUUGGCACGUUUUUCGCGUUUUGCAGACGAUUGGCGGGGAUGCAGCGGCUGUUGCACUCGUCGGCGCCGCUGUCGGCGCCGCCGGAAAAGGCCACGCCCGGCAAGCUGCGGAAAAAGAGCGGUGACACGCUGAGCAAGUGCAGAAAGAAGGCGCUCGAGAACUGCGGAAAACUCGUCGCCAAGGUGGUACCGUGAGGCGCCAGGUCUACUUAGAAUCUCAAAGGUUCGACUGGAGGGCCGUGGAAAGUAUUAGCGGAGGGUGCAGGUGGUGCUGUCGGCCCAGGUCCAGUCCCAGUCCCAGGUCGACGUCGGGAAGGUUUUUAAAAAAACCAACAAAACCAAUUUUCGGCUCUCCAAGUAAUCGAAAACCGGUGUUAAAUUGACACCUGUUGCGUGAGGAGCUCGCUGACCUGGCGAGGGUUGCAGAUGAUUGCCAGAAGCAGGAGGCGCGGAGAAAAUGAUACCCUGGGCAGGGAAUCGCAGGUGGAGCAGCAGCACCGCCACUCCACCUUCGAGCGUUGAGUCGCACUCUCGUGGACCCUGUGAGCGCAUCCACCUAAUGCUUCGGAUGCUAAGCCGCGCGGUGCGUGUCUGCGGCGCCGGCUGGCAUGCACACAUACCUCCGGCGACGGCGCCGUUUCUCGCCAAGUGGCGCCGUGCCCACGAGCAACUUGCGGGCGCCCGCCCGGCGCACCAAGCGGCCCACGUCGCUACUGGUGGCCGCCGGCGGCCACCAGGCCAAAGUGCUCGAGCACCGGGUCGAUGGCCACGAGCAGCAGCAGCAGCAUGUCCAAUUG
Long non-coding RNA from Cloeon dipterum, 849 nucleotides. RefSeq lists it as uncharacterized. The transcript has 5 exons. Lineage: Eukaryota; Metazoa; Arthropoda; Insecta; Ephemeroptera; Baetidae. The record is from RefSeq and is a predicted model, not a curated record.